This 727-nucleotide ribosomal RNA is filed under the name Enterococcus sp. Its description in RNAcentral is "bacterial SSU rRNA". It matches the Rfam family "Bacterial small subunit ribosomal RNA", at positions 51 to 753 of the family's 1533-position model. The record is from RNAcentral. Lineage: Bacteria; Bacillati; Bacillota; Bacilli; Lactobacillales; Enterococcaceae.
AUACAUGCAAGUUGAACGCUUCUUUCUUAUCGAACUUCGGUUCACCAAGAAAGAAGAGUAGCGAACGGGUGAGUAACACGUGGGUAACCUGCCCAUCAGCGGGGGAUAACACUUGGAAACAGGUGCUAAUACCGCAUAAUACUUUUUCUCUCAUGAGUGAAAGUUGAAAGGCGCUUUUGCGUCACUGAUGGAUGGACCCGCGGUGCAUUAGCUAGUUGGUAGGGUAACGGCCUACCAAGGCAACGAUGCAUAGCCGACCUGAGAGGGUGAUCGGCCACACUGGGACUGAGACACGGCCCAGACUCCUACGGGAGGCAGCAGUAGGGAAUCUUCGGCAAUGGACGAAAGUCUGACCGAGCAACGCCGCGUGAGUGAAGAAGGUUUUCGGAUCGUAAAACUCUGUUGUUAGAGAAGAACAAGGAUGAGAAGAGAAUGUUCAUCCCUUGACGGUAUCUAACCAGAAAGCCACGGCUAACUACGUGCCAGCAGCCGCGGUAAUACGUAGGUGGCAAGCGUUGUCCGGAUUUAUUGGGCGUAAAGCGAGCGCAGGCGGUUCUUUAAGUCUGAUGUGAAAGCCCCGGCUCAACCGGGGAGGGUCAUUGGAAACUGGGGAACUUGAGUGCAGAAGAGGAGAGUGGAAUUCCAUGUGUAGCGGUGAAAUGCGUAGAUAUAUGGAGGAACACCAGUGGCGAAGGCGGCUCUCUGGUCUGUAACUGACGCUGAGGCU